Molecule: ribosomal RNA, 449 nt
Filed under: uncultured bacterium
Lineage: Bacteria
Description: partial 16S ribosomal RNA
Rfam family: Bacterial small subunit ribosomal RNA
Source: RNAcentral
AACGAACGCUGGCGGCAUGCCUAACACAUGCAAGUCGAACGAGAUCUUCGGGUCUAGAGGCGCACGGGUGCGUAACGCAUGGGAAUCUGCCCUUUGGUUCGGAAUAACAGUUGGAAACGACUGCUAAUACCGGAUGAUGACGAAAGUCCAAAGAUUUAUCGCCAGAGGAUGAGCCCGCGUAGGAUUAGCUAGUUGGUGUGGUAAAGGCGCACCAAGGCGACGAUCCUUAGCUGGUCUGAGAGGGUGAUCAGCCACACUGGGACUGAGACACGGCCCAGACUCCUACGGGAGGCAGCAGUGGGGAAUAUUGGACAAUGGGCGAAAGCCUGAUCCAGCAAUGCCGCGUGAGUGAUGAAGGCCUUAGGGUUGUAAAGCUCUUUUACCCGGGAUGAUAAUGACAGUACCGGGAGAAUAAGCUCCGGCUAACUCCGUGCCAGCAGCAGCCGCGG